RNAcentral lists this long non-coding RNA (329 nucleotides) under Rattus norvegicus (Norway rat). Its description in RNAcentral is "long non-coding RNA NONRATT022631". Lineage: Eukaryota; Metazoa; Chordata; Mammalia; Rodentia; Muridae. The record is from RNAcentral.
CUUAGACAGGGGCUGGGGAUUUAGCUCAGUGGUAGAGCGCUUACCUAGGAAGCGCAAGGUCCUGGGUUCGGUCCCCAGCUCCGGAAAAAAAGAACCAAAAAAAAAAAAAAAAAAAAAAAACCUUAGACAGAGAGGCUUUCCCAGAGACUAUAAAGCGCUCUAUGCCCUGAGGCAGACUGACAUUUAUAGCACAGGAAGAGAAAAAGACUCCAUACUAGGUGAGGAAAGACAGAAGAAUGUGAGGUCUAGAGAGCCAAUAGAAGUCUUUCAGUGGGGCUGGGGAUUUAGCUCAGUGGUAGAGUGCUUGCCUAGGAAGCACAAGGCCCUGG